GACAGUGUGGCAUAGUGGUUUGACCAUUGGACUACAACGCUGAAGACCAGGGUUCAAUUCCCCACUCAGCCA
Molecule: non-coding RNA, 72 nt
Organism: Phrynosoma platyrhinos (Desert horned lizard)
Lineage: Eukaryota; Metazoa; Chordata; Lepidosauria; Squamata; Phrynosomatidae
Source: the annotation of a GenBank genome assembly